AAUCCUUUUCGGUCGCUUCUUGGUGUGUACUUGUUGAUGGGGCCUUACCUCCUGGUGAACGGUGAUGUCCUUUACUGGGUGUCAUCGCAAACCAGGACGUUUACUUUGAAAAAAUUAGAGUGUUCAAAGCAGGCCUUUGCCCGAAUACAUUAGCAUGGAAUAAUAGAAUAGGACGCGCGUUCCCAUUUUGUUGGUUUCUGAGAUCGCCGUAAUGAUUAAUAGGGAUAGUUGGGA
This 234-nucleotide ribosomal RNA is filed under the name Glomeromycota sp. RNAcentral's name for it is "partial small subunit ribosomal RNA". The stretch from base 90 to 234 matches the Rfam family "Eukaryotic small subunit ribosomal RNA", at positions 741 to 887 of the family's 1831-position model. Lineage: Eukaryota; Fungi; Glomeromycota. The record is from RNAcentral.